RNAcentral lists this ribosomal RNA (499 nucleotides) under uncultured bacterium. RNAcentral describes it as "bacterial SSU rRNA". It matches the Rfam family "Bacterial small subunit ribosomal RNA", at positions 29 to 526 of the family's 1533-position model. The record is from RNAcentral.
AGUGAACGCUGGCGGCGUGCCUAAUACAUGCAAGUCGAACGUGAAAGCCUUCGGGUGAGUAAAGUGGCGCACGGGUGAGUAAUGGAUGAGAACAUGCCCUGAAGUGGGGAAUAACUACUGGAAACGGUAGCUAAUACCGCAUGGCAUCGGAAGAUUAAAGGCGGGGAUCGCAAGACCUGCCGCUUCAGGAUUGGCUCAUCUCCCAUUAGCUAGUUGGCAGGGUAAAAGCCUACCAAGGCGACGAUGGGUAACUGGUCUGAGAGGAUGAUCAGUCACACUGGAACUGAGACACGGUCCAGACUCCUACGGGAGGCAGCAGUAGGGAAUAUUGCACAAUGGGCGCAAGCCUGAUGCAGCAACGCCGCGUGAGUGAAGAAGGCCCUUGGGUUGUAAAGCUCUUUAGCCUGGAAAGAAGUGUCCGCCGGUAAACAAUCGGCGGAUGUGACGGUACCAGGAGAAUAAGCACCGGCUAAUUUCGUGCCAGCAGCCGCAGUAAAAC